This 705-nucleotide ribosomal RNA is filed under the name Triticum aestivum (bread wheat). RNAcentral describes it as "partial small subunit ribosomal RNA". The record is from RNAcentral. Lineage: Eukaryota; Viridiplantae; Streptophyta; Magnoliopsida; Poales; Poaceae.
AUGAUGCACGUAUUAUCGCAUGAAGCUUUCCUGACCCUGGCUGUCACACUAUGGGCAAUAUGGACUGCGAGAAGAAAGGCGAUACACGAAGGAAUUUUUCAGAGCCCGCAGGCCACUCACGCAUUCAUCACCCGUUUCAUGGCGGAGCUUGAGACUAUGGAUACUAAGCCGAAUAUCCCUUCAGGGGGACGGCUCAGACAAGCUGCUGUUGCGAACAGACGGCCCAGGGCACCUCCGCCGGGGUUUGCAAAGAUUCACGUGGACGCAGGAAUCCACAGAUUUAACAGAAGGGGCUCCGCCGCUGCGGUCUGCCGCGAUGAUCAGGGUAACUACCUGGGCAGUUCAGCCCUGGUGAUAGACAACAUUCAUGAUGCAGCCACCCUCGAGGCGAUAGCUUGUCGCGAAGCUUUUGCGUUGGCGGACGACCUUGCACUUCAAAACUUUAUCAUCGCUUCAGAUGGAAAGCAAGUGGUAGAGGAUAUAAACAGGAGCAGCAGAGGCACAUAUGGUUCCAUUAUUACUGAAAUCAAAGCUAGGGCUGAAAGUUUCAAUUGUAGAAUCACUCAUGAAGGUCGUUUAUCCAAUACGGAUGCUCAUAGUUUAGCAAAAUUCUCUGUUAGAUUAGCUCGGGGGCGCCAUGUGUGGCUUCUACAACCCCAUGACGCUUUAUGUAUCCCACAUAAUGUGGUUUUUGAUGAUGAAUAA